RNAcentral lists this unclassified non-coding RNA (417 nucleotides) under Hevea brasiliensis (rubber tree). Lineage: Eukaryota; Viridiplantae; Streptophyta; Magnoliopsida; Malpighiales; Euphorbiaceae. The record is from RNAcentral.
AAUUAUACAUAAACUUAUUCGUUAAUGGGUACCACAUGAUAACAAGAAAAAUAAAAAUAAUAAAAGAAAACAUAUCCAAUUAUUCUUCUGCUUCAUGCCAUGUAUAUGCAAGUGCAGUAGCAGAGCAAAGGUAAAAAAAUAAAAAUUAAAAAAUUAAAAAAAGAGAAAAAGAUCACAUUAUUUCAUUGGUUAAUAGCUAAAAAAAUUAAGUCUAGAUUGUACAUGGAGGCAUGUAAGCAGGUGGAGGAAGCAUUCUACUAGCCCUGGUACGUCCUUCCUUCACUAUUAUCACAGUGUCCAUUCCCCAGCUUGCAUGUCGUUCCAAAUGGCAGUGCAUAAACCAUACACCAGGAUUGUUGGCAGUGAACCUAAUGGCAGCCCAUCCUUUCCUAGGGAUUCCAAUGGUGUUAACUUCUG